GAACCAGACUGGAGAUGCCAAGAACUGCUAAUUACUUCGCACCGCGGUUCAAUUCCGCGGCUUGUUCG
Xenopus tropicalis (tropical clawed frog) is the source of this 68-nucleotide non-coding RNA. NCBI's taxonomy places the organism in Eukaryota, Metazoa, Chordata, Amphibia, Anura, Pipidae. The record is from Ensembl.